AAUGAACGCUGGCGGUAGGCCUAACACAUGCAAGUCGAACGGCAGCACAGUAAGAGCUUGCUCUUACGGGUGGCGAGUGGCGGACGGGUGAGGAAUACAUCGGAAUCUACUUUUUCGUGGGGGAUAACGUAGGGAAACUUACGCUAAUACCGCAUACGACCUACGGGUGAAAGCAGGGGAUCUUCGGACCUUGCGCGAUUGAAUGAGCCGAUGUCGGAUUAGCUAGUUGGCGGGGUAAAGGCCCACCAAGGCGACGAUCCGUAGCUGGUCUGAGAGGAUGAUCAGCCACACUGGAACUGAGACACGGUCCGGACUCCUACGGGAGGCAGCAGUGGGGAAUAUUGGACAAUGGGCGCAAGCCUGAUCCAGCCAUACCGCGUGGGUGAAGAAGGCCUUCGGGUUGUAAAGCCCUUUUGUUGGGAAAGAAAAGCAGCAGGUUAAUACCCCGCUGUUCUGACGGUACCCAAAGAAUAAGCACCGGCUAACUUCGUG
Molecule: ribosomal RNA, 492 nt
Filed under: uncultured bacterium
Lineage: Bacteria
Description: partial 16S ribosomal RNA
Rfam family: Bacterial small subunit ribosomal RNA
Source: RNAcentral